This is a long non-coding RNA of Carya illinoinensis, 3167 nucleotides long. RefSeq lists it as uncharacterized. The record is from RefSeq and is a predicted model, not a curated record. The transcript is spliced from 5 exons. NCBI's taxonomy places the organism in Eukaryota, Viridiplantae, Streptophyta, Magnoliopsida, Fagales, Juglandaceae.
UAGGAUAUUAGGAACCCAUAGAUGAUGCUCGAGAGUUAAAACCCCCCUACGCAUAAGAACCCCAGUUUGCAAGGACGCGAGGAUUAAGCAUAAAAUCUCUGUGGUGCAGCCUGCGGCUUCGUUACUCACGGCAGGUAGCCAUGAAUUUAUGAAUGCAGCUAAGAUAGCAUCGAUCUCUGGUUUCUCAGCCAUGAUAGACAUGGUGCGAAGUAUAAGAAGAGGAGUACGUGGAUCGGAGGGGGGUUGGCUUUAGGGGGAUUUUAGUGCACAGGCCAGUUAUACAAGAUGAGCCAUCUCCACCACAAAAUGUAUCGACGCUAAGAGACGAAUCUGACUCCUCAUCGGAUUACUCAACCCAACCAGCCGAUGUGGUAUUUGAAACUAAGUUCCCAAAGCAACAUGAUUGUACAGCUGUGAGUAAGAAACAAGGUUGGGGGCGGGCAAAUAUGACAAAAUUUGACAUGCUUUGGAAGAUUGGACCGAUUUCAUUACUGAUCAAGGAUCGGGACAGUAAGGUGUCAUACCAGAAUGCAAGCAUUUUUAGUGGAAGGGUCACCUGGAUCGUCAAGCAUUAAGCUAACAUGGGUUACCGACGUUGGAAUGAUAUGCCAGAAGCUGAACAAGAGUUGUGUUCUCGCGUCCAAGCUGACUUUAUCAUGCAAUGGAAAAAACAAAACCAUCAUAAGGCGGUUACCGAGCAACUACAUAGGAGGCUCAAUUCUUUCCACUACGAGUUACACUAAAUCUACCUCGGCUACGGAAGUCAUAAAGUUGUUGUUGCAAGAGGGACCGAGAUGGCAGAUGAAGCAGUUUGGAGGAAAUUGUGCAUGUGCUAGGGUAGCAAGGAGUUCAAGGUAAAAUCGUUAGGUUGGGCUAGAAUGAAGUUGUUUAAUGCUAGUUGCUAAGUUCUGAAAAUUUCCAUAUAUUCAAUGUUUCAAAUAUGUGAUGUUUUUGAAUUAUAUUUGUCCAAUAAAAUUAAGGUUCAACUGUUUUGCAUGUCUAUUCUGGACCAACCCUUGUCAUUGCAAAACAAGGUGAAUAGGGCACUACAGCGAUACAACCAUACUGCUGGCAGGAAGUCCUUUGUUCAAAUACUUGAAGAGCAGGUAAAGAGAUUUUUGGUUAUGUCUUUGAGUCCUAAAUUCAGCAUUAUAUUAGAAGCUGUCGGACAAGUAUGGCACCCGUGAAAGUUGGUCAAUGAAAUUGAUAUAUUAAUUGGAUGUUUCAGCUUGAUGUUGUUACUAAUCUAGUGGAUUUUUUUAAAGAGACUCACUAGUCAAAGAAGAAAAAUGGGUUUGUGACCAACAUUAUUGAAGAGCUGUAUGUGAGUUACAUGUGCUGCUCUCAGGGGAAGUACAAAGUUUUUUUAGUUGUAAUUAACUUAAUAUUGAUUACCUAUGCCUGACAAUGUUUUGUUAUAAUCUAUUGACUAAAACUGAACAUAUUAUUAAUCAUAUUAUUUUGGAAGGACAUAAUGGUAGAAAAGCUUAAUGAACUGGAACCGGAAGAGCGAGCUAAGGACGCAGCACCUGCAGUGUUCAGGGAGGUUCUAGGGAGAAGAUUAGGCUAUGAAAAGGAUUUGGGCAAGAAGGUGAUGCCCGUAACAUCAGGAACGGCGAGUAAUCCCAAAAAUGGAGGUGUAUUGUCAAAGGAUGCACUGUUUUACAAGGCUCAAUUUGAGGCACUAAAGGCAAAUGUUCAGGAAAUAUUGGUAAAGCAAGCGGAGUUUGACAAAGUUAUUAUGGCAUACUCAAUGUCACAGCAGCUGCCCCAGGGAGAGUCUCCGAGGGAGACACCUGGAGCUGUCUAACUUUGGUAGACAACACUUUUUGGGAUAUUUUGACUUUCGAUAGGCAACAGGAUAAAGUACUAAUGGGUGGUUGUCUGUGGUAAUUUUAUGAGUGGCUUCUCUAUCUAAGCUGGUUGGGUGGUUGGCCAUAUCAAGUAUAAUUAUGAGAGAUUCUAUUUAUUAGCACUGCUGAGGAGUUAAAAUAUACGCACUUGUAAGCCAUAGACCAAAGGGAUUGUGCACUAAGUAUUUCUUAGCAACAUCCACAUUUGAAAAGAUAUUACUCAUGCGCAAUGGCUUCUAUGAGAUGCUUUUGUAGCCAUGGAGCACUCAAGAGGGACAACUUGUAGCAUAUUGCAUGUACUACAUGGAUAUAGUUGUGAAGUGUACUGUUGUGGGGGCAACAACUUUUGAAACAGGGAUCAUUGAAAAACUCCACAGUGACAUGGAUGGAUUUAUUUGCAAUUUAGCUUAAUACUCUGGGCUGCUUCAUUCUAUGCCAUUUGUAAACUCUCCUAUAAUUGGGGGAUAUAGUAAUGGGUAGGCGUGAAUAUAUUUUAGUUAAUAUAUUGGCCUUUACUCAGCUUUAUUUGACUUGAGGUGAAGUAUCUUCUUCUGUAAAUUGUAGUGGUUUAAUGAUAUAUAGAUAGGUGAUGCUUAUUUGCAUGUAAAUAGUUUGAUACUUGUAGUAUGAAUUGAGAGCAUUGGGCUAGGUUAGGAAACUGCUGGUGUGAUGUUCUUUUUCUUUUAAUCAGCAAUUUGUUUCCAAUGAACGAUUCUGGGAUUUAGUAAUGAAAUUUCAUAUAUUUCAUGUAUAUGAUAAGUAGAAUGAACAUACCUUUGAAUGUUCUUAGGUGCAGAGCUAUGUCCACUACAUGAACAAUAAUGCGGUAUUGAUUAGUUUUCACAUAGACAUGGGGUUAAAUGAGCCAUUCGAAGUUUAUUUAACAAGCUGAGAGCUGAUAGGCGCUGCUGUUGAUGAAAACAUGGAAGCAGAAAAAUGUAUAUUACAUUGCCAGCAGAUGGGUCAUUGCUAAAGAGAUGGGAUCUAUAGGUGCUGUGCCAAUUUCUCACCAUGCUUCCAAGAUAGAGAGGACAAACAUGUUGUCUGCCACAUGACUAUAGAAUAUAUUAAUAUUGCCUUGUAUUAAAUGUGCAAAUGAUCAUUGCUUGAGUUUCAUAACAUGUUGAACUUAUUUAACAGUACCCGAUGGACUUGUAUUUGUAGAUAUAUAGUGAUUGGUACAUCACUCACUUGGAUGACGAAAUACACUUCUCAAAAAGGGAGGUAAUUUCUGUGCAUGAAUAGAUGGUUGGCCUCCAAAUGAAAUAUUGAUGUAUAUUUUUAGUUGAAAUUGAAUCUGUUUCAAUUUUACAA